GGUUGUCGGCGGUUUGCGCUUCGGUGGCGGCUCAGGCUUUGGUUCGGGUUUGGGUUCUGGUUUAGGCAUCGGUUCAGGCUUGGGCUCGGGUUUUGGUUCAGGUUUAGGCAUGGGCUUAGGCAUGGGCUCAGGCUUUGGUUCUGGUUUAGGCAUUGGCUUAGGCUUGGGUUCGGGUUUUGGCUCUGGUUUGGGCAUUGGCUCAGGCUUGGGUUCUGGUUUAGGCAUGGGCUCAGGCUUUGGUUCCGGUUUAAUUGGCUCAGGCUUCGGUUCCGGCUUAGGCAUUGGCUCGGGCUUGGGCUCAGGUUUUGGCUCAGGUUUAGGCAUUGGCUCGGGUUUGGGCUCAGGUUUAGGCUCAGGUUUAGGCACUGGCUCAGGCUUAGGCUCGGGUUUAGGCUCAGGUUUAGGCACUGGCUUAGGCAUGGGCUCGGGUUUUGGUUCCGGUUUAGGCAUUGGCUCAGGUUUGGGCUCGGGUUUAGGCUCGGGUUUAGGCAUUGGCUUAGGCAUGGGCUCGGGUUUUGGUUCCGGUUUGGGCAUGGGCUCUGGUUUUGGCUCGGGUUUUGGCAUUGGCUUAGGCAUGGGCUCUGGUUUUGGUUCCGGUUUAGGCAUCGGCUCAGGUUUCGGCUCUGGUUUAGGCAUUGGUUUGGGCAUUGGUUCCGGCUUGGGCUCUGGCUUCGGCUCGGGCUUGGGCAUGGGUUCAG
RNAcentral lists this long non-coding RNA (698 nucleotides) under Brachypodium distachyon (stiff brome). Its description in RNAcentral is "long non-coding RNA (BDIS_LNC001046)". Lineage: Eukaryota; Viridiplantae; Streptophyta; Magnoliopsida; Poales; Poaceae. The record is from RNAcentral.